Small nucleolar RNA from Dioscorea cayenensis subsp. rotundata (Guinea yam), 106 nucleotides. NCBI's taxonomy places the organism in Eukaryota, Viridiplantae, Streptophyta, Magnoliopsida, Dioscoreales, Dioscoreaceae. The record is from RefSeq and is a predicted model, not a curated record.
AGCCCAUGAUGGGAGGACAUCUUUAGCAACUCUUUCAAUCUUUGCCAAGCUUUAUACAUUGAUUCAUCCUUCCUUUGCAUAAAAUCAGUGAUCUGGUUCUUGAGUU